UACGGAGGGUGCAAGCGUUAUCCGGAUUCACUGGGUUUAAAGGGAGCGUAGGUGGCUUUGUAAGUCAGUGGUGAAAUAUUGCGGCUCAACCGCAAAACUGCCAUUGAUACUGCUUAGCUUGAAUCACGUCGAGGUGGAUGGAAUAAUACAUGUAGCGGUGAAAUGCUUAGAUAUGUAUUAGAACACCGAUUGCGAAGGCAGUUCACUAGGCGUGUAUUGACACUGAGGCACGAAAGCGUGGGGAGCAAACAGG
RNAcentral lists this ribosomal RNA (253 nucleotides) under uncultured bacterium. Its description in RNAcentral is "partial 16S ribosomal RNA". It matches the Rfam family "Bacterial small subunit ribosomal RNA", at positions 524 to 776 of the family's 1533-position model. The record is from RNAcentral.